RNAcentral lists this transfer RNA (77 nucleotides) under Actinomycetota bacterium. RNAcentral describes it as "tRNA-Val". It matches the Rfam family "tRNA". Rfam says of the family: Transfer RNA (tRNA) molecules are approximately 80 nucleotides in length. Their secondary structure includes four short double-helical elements and three loops (D, anti-codon, and T loops). Lineage: Bacteria; Bacillati; Actinomycetota. The record is from RNAcentral.
GGGCGGUUAGCUCAGUUGGCUAGAGCGCAUCCUUCACACGGAUGAGGUCGGAAGUUCGAGUCUUCUACCGCCCACCA